GAUGAACGCUGGCGGCGUGCCUAAUACAUGCAAGUCGAACGCUUCACUUCGGUGAAGAGUGGCGAACGGGUGAGUAAUACAUAAGUAACCUGGCAUCUACAGGGGGAUAACUGAUGGAAACGUCAGCUAAGACCGCAUAGGUGUAGAGAUCGCAUGAACUCUAUAUGAAAAGUGCUACGGGACUGGUAGAUGAUGGACUUAUGGCGCAUUAGCUUGUUGGUAGGGUAACGGCCUACCAAGGCGACGAUGCGUAGCCGACCUGAGAGGGUGACCGGCCACACUGGGACUGAGACACGGCCCAGACGCCUACGGGAGGCAGCAGUAGGGAAUUUUCGGCAAAGGGGGAAACCCUGACCGAGCAACGCCGCGUGAAGGAAGAAGUAAUUCGUUAUGUAAACUUCUGUCAUAGAGGAAGAACGGUGGAUAUAGGGAAUGAUAUCCAAGUGACGGUACUCUAUAAGAAAGCCACGGCUAACUACGUG
This 482-nucleotide ribosomal RNA is filed under the name uncultured bacterium. RNAcentral's name for it is "partial 16S ribosomal RNA". It matches the Rfam family "Bacterial small subunit ribosomal RNA", at positions 28 to 507 of the family's 1533-position model. The record is from RNAcentral.